AUUUCAAAAUCUAAGUUAAACAACAGCCAUGAUUGGAUAAUAACUGCUUCUUGUGCGGUUAAAAUCUCAAACUGUGACAGCUUGCCCUGACUCAAAAGACAUGAUUCAAUGAUGUUACAUUUAAAAGAACAGAACUUGCACAAUGAUGAUGUCGCAACCCAAACUGCACAACAUCUCCAAUGCCAUAACCAUGGGUUUGAAGAAGAAGGCUAACGAUCAGUGUUCACCUGCAGUACUCUACCACUACCCUUGUCCUGAUGGUGCUUUUGCUGCCCUUGCUGCACACCUUUACUUCAAGGCCACUUCCUUAUUCUCCCCUCUUUUCUUUACCAACACUGUUUACAACCCCAUCAGGGUUCAAGAUCUUCCUCUGAAUGAAAUCGGUGAUCUUUACCUCCUAGAUUUUGUGGGGCCGGAUGGUUUUAUUGAGGAAGUCUCUACCAAAGUUCAAAGGGUGAUUGUUUUGGACCAUCACAAGACUGCCCUUGAGAGGUUGGGGAAUGAUGAUUCACUUGGUGAGAAUGUGGUUAAGGUUAUUGACAUGGAGAGGAGUGGGGCUACUAUUGCAUUUGAUUACUUCAAAGAUAAGCUUUUGAGUCCUGAUAUUGCAGUAAAACACUCCUCAGUGCUUGAUGAAUUUGAGCGUGCCAGGCAACUUUUUCUGUAUGUUGAAGAUGGGGACCUCUGGAGGUGGAGACUCCAGAACAGCAAAGCUUUCAGCAGUGGUUUGAAGGAUUUGAACAUUGAAUUUGAUGCCAGGAAAAAUCCUUCGUUGUUUGACCAGUUGCUUUCACUAGACUCGAAUACUAUCAUUAGUAGAGGUAUGCUAAGCUUAUCACUGAAGCAAAAAUUAAUUGAUGAUUGUCUCAGCAAGUCAUAUGAAAUUGCCCUCGGGAAUGGUGCAUUUGGUCAUUGCCUGGCUGUCAAUGCAGAUACUACUCUUUCACAGUUAAGAAGUGAAUUGGGACAUCAAUUAGCUAUUAAAAGCAAGGAAAUGAAGUUGAGAGGUAUUGGUGCAGUUGUGUAUAAAGUACCAGAGCUUGAAAAUGACCAACUGCUAAAAAUCAGUCUGAGGAGUGAGAAGAACGAAGAUACAACACCUAUCACUCAGGAAUUUGGAGGUGGUGGGCAUCGAAAUGCAGGUUCUUUCAUGUUAACAGCUGAUAAGUUUGAACAAUGGAAGGUGUGAUUGGAUUUUUGCACUUGACAUGAGUUCUGUAUAAAGAACCAUAACUUGAAAAUGAACAAAGGACAAAAUAAGCAUGAGGGGUGUGGAGAAUGAAGUUACCAUGCCUAUUUCUCAGGAAUUUGGAGGUGGUAGACAUUGAAAUGCAAGCUUUUUCAUGUUAAUAGCUGAUGAAUUUGAACAGUGAAAGGUGUGAUUGGAUUUUUGCACUUGACAUGGAGACAUAAAGGAGUUACAGUCACACAUGAUCUUCUGUGUACUGCUCAAAUUUCAAAGUUAUGUGGAAUGUUUUGGUAGUUCUGUUAAUUACUCUAUUAUGCAGUUCUUUUGACUAUUAAUUAGGUAUCAGUGAGUUAUUUUUUUAUUUUUUAUUUUUAUUUUUUUUUUUUAUGUAAUUCAAAAGCAAUGUUUGAAUAGUCUCUCCAAUCAUUUGAAAAUUUCAUUGGACUAAAAUUUUCUUAAUGUUACUCUUUAGAGAUCAAUUGGUUUCAAAGUUACUUGGCAUUAGCAUUAGCAUAGUUGAUUAUACUCUUAACUGCCUUUCACUUAUAGAAUUCCUUCUUCCAAAUGAAAAACAAUAAAAAUAAUAAUUAACACUUGAGUUGUGAUUUAUAUUUAUUCCACAAAUAACACCCAGAUCACCUCGAGAUAGAGGUUAGUACAAAAAUGUAUAAAAUCAAUGCAAUAAUAUGAUCCUAAUUAACAAGCCCACCAAACCAAAAACAAACCAAACCAUCCUCACCAAUUAAGUAUAAUGAUAAUCAGAAAAGCAAAAGUUAAAUCUCUUAAUAACAGUUAUAUGGAAAAUGUAUAAAUAUUUUAUUAUAUGAUGAAAUGUAUAUAAAUAUAUAUAUAUUUAUAUUAAUAUCCGGCUCCCAAGUUAUUCACCACCAAUCUGGCCUGCCAUUAGGUCUUCAAAAUAUUAGUUUGUAAAUGUAACAUGUGAGAGUUCUUCACCACCAACCAUAGCUGCAUUAGAAGAAUACCAUGCAUCUUCUGUAAUGAACUGCAUCCAUGAAUCAUCUUUGUCUUCCUCUUCCAAGCAUGAUGAUGAUGCGCCUGGUAUGUCAGGAGACAUGGUAUCACACUCAUUAAUCAUGGUUUGGCAGCUCUCAAUGAGUGAUAUACUACAUUGUCCUUGCUCUUCAAUCUCAGAACAGAUUCCAUUUUUCUUGAACACCCGGCACAAUGCAUAAGUAUCCUGCAAGGUAGUUAUUAAUAUA
Vigna umbellata (rice bean) is the source of this 2409-nucleotide non-coding RNA. Lineage: Eukaryota; Viridiplantae; Streptophyta; Magnoliopsida; Fabales; Fabaceae. The record is from RefSeq and is a predicted model, not a curated record.